GAUGAACGCUGACAGAAUGCUUAACACAUGCAAGUCAACUUGAACUUCGGUUUGGGUGGCGGACGGGUGAGUAACGCGUAAAGAACUUGCCUCACAGAUAGGGACAACAUUUGGAAACGAAUGCUAAUACCUGAUAUUAUGAUUUUAGGGCAUCCUAGGAUUAUGAAAGCUAUAUGCGCUGUGAGAGAGCUUUGCGUCCCAUUAGCUAGUUGGAGAGGUAACGGCUCACCAAGGCGAUGAUGGGUAGCCGGCCUGAGAGGGUGAUCGGCCACAAGGGGACUGAGACACGGCCCUUACUCCUACGGGAGGCAGCAGUGGGGAAUAUUGGACAAUGGACCAAGAGUCUGAUCCAGCAAUUCUGUGUGCACGAUGAAGUUUUUCGGAAUGUAAAGUGCUUUCAGUUGGGAAGAAAACAAUGACGGUACCAACAGAAGAAGUGACGGCUAAAUACGUGCCAGCAGCCGCGGUAAUACGUAUGUCACAAGCGUUAUCCGGAUUUAUUGGGCGUAAAGCGCGUCUAGGUGGUUAUGUAAGUCUGAUGUGAAAAUGCAGGGCUCAACUCUGUAUUGCGUUGGAAACUGUGUAACUAGAGUACUGGAGAGGUAAGCGGAACUACAAGUGUAGAGGUGAAAUUCGUAGAUAUUUGUAGGAAUGCCGAUGGGGAAGCCAGCUUACUGGACAGAUACUGACGCUGAAGCGCGAAAGCGUGGGUAGCAAACAGG
This 722-nucleotide ribosomal RNA is filed under the name uncultured Fusobacterium sp. RNAcentral describes it as "bacterial SSU rRNA". It matches the Rfam family "Bacterial small subunit ribosomal RNA", at positions 28 to 776 of the family's 1533-position model. Lineage: Bacteria; Fusobacteriati; Fusobacteriota; Fusobacteriia; Fusobacteriales; Fusobacteriaceae. The record is from RNAcentral.